GAUGAACGCUGGCGGCGUGCUUAACACAUGCAAGUCGAACGGAAAGGCCGAAGCUUGCUUCGGUACUCGAGUGGCGAACGGGUGAGUAACACGUGGGUGAUCUGCCCUGUACUUCGGGAUAAGCUUGGGAAACUGGGUCUAAUACCGGAUAUGACGAUCUCUUGGAUGGGGUUGUGGAAAGCUUUUGCGGUAUGGGAUGAGCUCGCGGCCUAUCAGCUUGUUGGUGGGGUAAUGGCCUACCAAGGCGUCGACGGGUAGCCGGCCUGAGAGGGUGUACGGCCACAGGGGGCGAAUGAGACGGCCCAGGCUCCGGGGGGGGAGACGAGGGGGGAUUAGGGAACAAGGGGGGCGGACUUGAGGCGGGGCGGCCGCGGGGGGAAUGAGGGCUUUGGUGUUUAAACCUCUUUUGGCAAGCGGGGACGAUUUUGGGUGGCGGUGGGUGAAGAAAAAGCCCCGCCUAACUCCGUG
Molecule: ribosomal RNA, 468 nt
Filed under: uncultured bacterium
Lineage: Bacteria
Description: partial 16S ribosomal RNA
Rfam family: Bacterial small subunit ribosomal RNA
Source: RNAcentral